This 440-nucleotide ribosomal RNA is filed under the name uncultured bacterium. Its description in RNAcentral is "partial 16S ribosomal RNA". It matches the Rfam family "Bacterial small subunit ribosomal RNA", at positions 339 to 795 of the family's 1533-position model. The record is from RNAcentral.
CUACGGGUCGCUGCAGUGAGGAAUAUUGCACAAUGGGGGGAACCCUGAUGCAGCAACGCCGCGUGGAGGAUGACGCAUUUCGGUGUGUAAACUCCUUUUGUAUGUCAAGAAAAUGACGGUAGCAUAUGAAUAAGCACCGCGCUAACUCCGUGCCAGCAGCCGCGGUAAUACGGAGGGUGCAAGCGUUACUCGGAAUCACUGGGCGUAAAGGACGCGUAGGCGGGUUGGAAAGUCAGGUGUGAAAUCCUACAGCUUAACUGUAGAACUGCACUUGAAACUUCUAAUCUAGAGUAUGGGAGGGGGAGAUGGAAUUAGUGGUGUAGGGGUAAAAUCCGUAGAUAUCACUAGGAAUACCUAAAGCGAAGGCGAUCUCCUGGAACAUUACUGACGCUAAGGCGUGAAAGCGUGGGGAGCAAACAGGAUUAGAUACCCUAGUAGUC